This is a non-coding RNA of Chelonoidis abingdonii (Abingdon island giant tortoise), 467 nucleotides long. NCBI's taxonomy places the organism in Eukaryota, Metazoa, Chordata, Testudines, Testudinidae. The record is from RefSeq and is a predicted model, not a curated record.
AAAAUUAGCCUUUCCCGAUCCCUCUCCAGUGGCCAACGGAUUGAGACAGUCGCUGAUGCCCAGCGCGCACCGAUGAUUUCAUCGGGGGCCUUGGCGAAGUCUGGUACAGUCGACCCUGGGAGGCACAACGGUGCAACGCCCCAGAAGGUGGAGAAGCUUUGGUCCCGAGCGACGGUGAGGAACCGGUCUCGCGGACAAGGUACGUUAGGGACUCUUAGCCACUCCCUUUGGAUGCCCCUGUCCAUUCCCUGCAGUCUGGUGACUUCAUCCUUGUCCGUACCUGGAAAGACGAACCCCUCCAGGAAAAGUGGAAAGGACCCUAUCUCGUCUUACUGGUUUCCCACACGGCGGCUAAAGUAGAGAGACACAAGAGCUGAAUUCACUACUCCCAACUAAAAGCUGUACCUCCACCGCAGAAUCCUGACCCUGAGCAGUGGACUGUUCAGCGUGCCGGAACCGGAACAUCG